UAGACCUGAGGCCACGCGGUGACGAUCACCACGGGCAGGGGCACCGUGGGGGCAGGAACACCCGGCAAGAAGAGCCCAGAUCCAGGGGGGUUUGUCCUGAGAGGCUGGGAAGACUCUGCCUAGCAGGGGCAGAAAGAUGCCCUUGGCUCUAGCGGGAUGGAGAACAGGGGCAGCAAAGCCAGCAAGAAGCCUUGGCAGCGCCUCAAGGAGAGGUUGGACCAGCACCGCAGUAGAGGAGACGGAAGUGAUGUAGAAGAGAUGGAGUGGGCAGACUUUGUGGACCAAUCAGACACCAGCUGGGGCUGGACACAGACCACAGGCCAGCAGGAAACCGACAGUCCUCUGCUCGCUGUGAAGCCAAGACUCAAGUUUUGCUCCAGCUUGGAGUCGGGCAUCCUGUAGCCCACCCGGACCCCAGCUGGACCACAUUCCCAAGGCCUUUCUGAUGGCGGUGAGGAGCUUGUCCGUCGGUCCACCACCCCCACCUUCGCUUCGGCACGGGAACAAACUGAGCCCAGGGUGCAGCCGAGAUCUGACGAAAGUGACACAGCGGGUUGGUGGCAGGGGUCACAUCUAGGCCCAGGCCUUCUGACUUCAGGUGGCCGGGAAGUUCAGAAUAAACGCAGGCAUGAAUGAACAGGUGUAUGAAAAUCCUG
Cervus elaphus (red deer) is the source of this 656-nucleotide long non-coding RNA. RefSeq lists it as uncharacterized. Lineage: Eukaryota; Metazoa; Chordata; Mammalia; Artiodactyla; Cervidae. The record is from RefSeq and is a predicted model, not a curated record. The transcript has 3 exons.